Chiloscyllium plagiosum (whitespotted bambooshark) is the source of this 1681-nucleotide long non-coding RNA. RefSeq lists it as uncharacterized. The record is from RefSeq and is a predicted model, not a curated record. NCBI's taxonomy places the organism in Eukaryota, Metazoa, Chordata, Chondrichthyes, Orectolobiformes, Hemiscylliidae.
CCUGCACAAGACAACAACUGCUUCCUUCUCCGUACUUGCUUCGGAAGACAAGGGAAUGGGGCUGAGAAGACAAGGGAAUGGGGCUGUUUGCCACGAUCAAACAGUGAAACAGACUCAAAGGGCUGAAUGGCCUAAUUUUGCCCCUACAUCUUCUGGUCUUAUGCACAAUGUACUGAAUUUACACCAACAUUUGGAGGUGGAGCCAUAGACAACGAAAAGGGUGAAUCACCAUGUCGGGACUGCUACCUGAUGGCUUCCCAUUGACAGUCAAAUUGCCCAGGGGAAGCCAGGACUGGCUCUGGCAGCUAGCUGUGGCAGUAGGCAUCCGAAGGAGACCUCAAGGCUGUUUUGCUGCUAGUAGCACCAUUUUCAUGAACGUCUGAUUGGUCCACCAUAGAUUGGAGCUUCUAUUCCUUCACAAUAUAACAUCAUGGACCCAGUACAGUCUCCUGAUUUGAGAACCAAAAGCUGGAAGCAGAAAAUCUCCCAGUAAGAGCUGAAGUAACUACGCUAGCACCGUCUGUCUGCCUAAGCCUGAGAAGAUAAGUCCCACUGCCAUGCUGCCGCAAGUAGAGUCCUACUCUGGGCAUUACCAACCCUCGCCAUGCUGCCGUCUGUAGGUGAGGUGAUGUUACACCAGAAUGAUGUGAGUUAAAAAGUGUAUUGAAAAUGCCUGCACCCCCAGCACCAUCCAGAUAAAGACAACAAGCCUAUUAUAUGGAACUAAGCAGUUGUACAGACCAAGUUAUGACAAGGUUUCCAGCAUCUGCAGCACUCUUAUUUUUACUCAUCACUAACUUGCCUCCUGGCAUUCAUCAGAACCCUCAAAUUAAAGUCUAGCAGCAGUCAAUUAGUGUCCAGAACCACCAAAGUAUGUGAUUGAAUUGACCACCCACAUGUGGAUCCAGAGGUAUCCUUCAGUAUGUACAGGCCAGAAUGGGGUGGGAUUGUUGUACUUUGCAUAACAUUGCUCAAAAUCACACUUUAAUCCCAUAGGAGGAAAAGAGCUCAGAUCCCCCUUGGGCAAUUUAGAAGGGAAAGAUAUGGAAGUGGAAGAGAAGAGUAAUAAAGACAUAUGUUCCACCAGCUGCUGACUUUGCCUGGGAUCUCAAGGUUACUCUUAAGGUUUAUUUAGGCUGCACCAAUAGACUCAUUGUACCAUUACAUAAAAUGUUCACUGUUUUUGCUCCCAUCACCCCCACACUACACCUGAGCACUAACUCUCAGAUGUUGCAGACACAAAGCAGUCCUGCAACCCACCAAGCACACAACAGUGUGAUUUGAAUAAGGUUUCCUGGCACACAUUGGCUACUCAGCUGACAAAGGCACGAGAGGUAAUUAUUAGAAAAGGCUGGGUUUAAAAAGGCUGCAGUUCACCAUUAAAUCUGAGCUGCUGUUUUAUAGAUAUAGGAGAUAGUUAAAAGAAGACAUGCAAAGAAAACAGCUCAAUUUUUAUGAAACAGCUGCGGAGGUGCUAUGGGAUAAAUUCUUUGAAAGCUGAACUUAAUGCACCAAACCGUAGAAGAGGAAGUGAAUGAAAGAUAAGUACACGUCCAAAUAACAGCAGAACUUGGAAACAAGUCAGCACAAAGUUGUAACUGCAGUAAGUACUGGUUAGGUUUAGCUUCCUUUCAAAAUAUUGUCUUACACUGCACCUUGGUAGCACAUCCCUUAAGCCCGU